This 473-nucleotide ribosomal RNA is filed under the name uncultured organism. RNAcentral describes it as "partial 16S ribosomal RNA". It matches the Rfam family "Bacterial small subunit ribosomal RNA", at positions 335 to 799 of the family's 1533-position model. The record is from RNAcentral.
ACUCCUACGGGAGGCAGCAGUGGGGAAUUUUGGACAAUGGGCGCAAGCCUGAUCCAGCCAUGCCGCGUGCGGGAAGAAGGCCUUCGGGUUGUAAACCGCUUUUGUCAGGGAAGAAAAGGUUCUGGCUAAUACCUGGGACUCAUGACGGUACCUGAAGAAUAAGCACCGGCUAACUACGUGCCAGCAGCCGCGGUAAUACGUAGGGUGCAAGCGUUAAUCGGAAUUACUGGGCGUAAAGCGUGCGCAGGCGGUUAUGCAAGACAGAGGUGAAAUCCCCGGGCUCAACCUGGGAACUGCCUUUGUGACUGCAUGGCUAGAGUACGGUAGAGGGGGAUGGAAUUCCGCGUGUAGCAGUGAAAUGCGUAGAUAUGCGGAGGAACACCGAUGGCGAAGGCAAUCCCCUGGACCUGUACUGACGCUCAUGCACGAAAGCGUGGGGAGCAAACAGGAUUAGAAACCCCUGUAGUCCCAUG